This 16-nucleotide transfer RNA is filed under the name Gadus morhua (Atlantic cod). RNAcentral's name for it is "partial tRNA-Ala". Lineage: Eukaryota; Metazoa; Chordata; Actinopteri; Gadiformes; Gadidae. The record is from RNAcentral.
GUCCUGCAGAUCUUAU